Molecule: long non-coding RNA, 1091 nt
Organism: Drosophila obscura
Lineage: Eukaryota; Metazoa; Arthropoda; Insecta; Diptera; Drosophilidae
Exons: 3
Source: RefSeq, a predicted model, not a curated record
UAUUUAAAAAGUUAGUCUAACACCUAUCUUUCCGUUUGGCGGGAGCCCGUUUCUGCCUGGAUUACGCACGUGACCUGGAUCUUACUAAAGGAAAAGCCUACUUCCUCGGUUGAAAAAAAUUAAAUUAAAUUAAUUAAAUAUGCACUGAAUAGUCGAAACGCUAUAUUUAAUUAAUACUUACCGACAAAAUCAGAGAAUUUUGGAUUUUUUCGAGAGGACCUAAGCCUACGUCUCAAACAUGAGUAAUUUGUUAAAAAGGCUGAUCAAAUUUUAAUUAAAAAUGUACUGAAACAAAAGUCACGUUAUUAAUAUACAUAUAUGGCAAAAAUCGAAAACAACAGAAUCUGGCAGGCUCCGGUUUUUACUUUCUCUAAAAAUUUUGAAAACGGAAAGUUUUUGGCACCCGCAUUCGCAAAACGCAAAAUUUUUUCGUUAUAAAAACGGCAAAAUAUUCCUCACCGAAAUGAAAAUUAGAAGGCUUCUUUAUACAACAAAAUGAAUCUUAAUUGCAUAAGAAUAAAAAUAUAUGGCUUAUUGAUGUAUUGACACCAUUAUCAACGUAAUUAAACUUAUACCUUUUUUUAUUUAAGCCCAACUUUAAAAUAGGAUUUACAAAAAUUGGUCAAUGCAACAACGCCUUGCGUUUCCGUGUGAACAGCUGUAGCAGCCUGAUUUGGUUAUCGAAAUAUCGUGUUAAGAUACAGAGGCCCUUUGUCUGAGAAAAGCACUAACGCGUGGGCAUGACACUAAAUAUUGCGCUUAACAGGACAUGAUAAAAAAUCGCAUCGAUCACAAACAUUUGCGAGUCUGACUUUUGGCUAAAAACAUAAAACGGAAAAUAACCGAAUAUAUGAAACGAUUGUCUCGUUCAAACAAUACGACAAAUUUUGGCCCGGAAGAUCCGAAGAUCGCUCGCUAAGAUAAGUACAACCAUGAAAGGUGGGACAGCAUUAGAUUCAACUAUCCGCUAUCGAAGUAUUAGAUUUUUCGCUAUAGAGGCUAUGACUCAGACUGCAAAUCUACAGAAAAUUAUUGAACCCACCCACCAAUUCAGUUGUAUUUUAUACAUAUACAUUUAAUUUAAUAUAAUU